Molecule: non-coding RNA, 846 nt
Organism: Nelumbo nucifera (sacred lotus)
Lineage: Eukaryota; Viridiplantae; Streptophyta; Magnoliopsida; Proteales; Nelumbonaceae
Source: RefSeq, a predicted model, not a curated record
CAUUUGUUUCUCUCUCAACAGCGGCCAAAGAGUUGCUGGUUCUGCAUCUUUUUAUGGGGCCAAGCCAUACAAUCUCAAUGUUGUGCCCCCAACAGAAACCACUAUUCUGGGAAACCCAUUGCAGGGAAGCUUACCAAGUGGGAAUUUGAACUCGGUUUCAGACAAGGGCCAAGUUGCUAGCACAUUUUCUGGUCAUACUACAAAGGAUUAGAACUUUGCAGCGGUUGCACCUAACUUUGUGGAUGCCCAGAGAAAGCAACAUGUGCUCCAGCAAGCUCCGCAGUCUGCUUCUUCUGGAAAUCUGCUGCUUGUUUAUUCUAAACUCAGUUGUUUUCCCAACGCUACAAUGGAUUUUGCUUGAUGAAUGCCAAAACUUUGGUUCAAAAGAUCUUUGCCCCCUUGGUGGGAUUGCAAAAAUAUAUUUCAUGAUCUUUUGGUUUUACCCACUAUACGUUUUCAGCUAUGUGUUAAGCAGCAUCUGGUAUUGAUUGCUUCUUUUAUCCACUGUUUCAUGCCAUGUAGCAAAUUUUUUGCAGUUAAUGUUUCUGUAAUAUUAUCAUAUCACUAUUUUGGUAUCAAUCCUCACUUGUGAAAUUGUUCUUGAUGUAUUGUUUAAUUGGAAUAUUGCUAUGUUGUUGCAAGUUGUAACUCAGCUGAUACAUGAACCUCUUUCCAACUUGUAACCAAACUUUUAACUACCGCAGAAUUGGUUAUGUGCAUUGGCUUAUUUCUUAGCCAGUUUUUUUGGGCAAUUAAAUUCUCAUAAAAAAGAAAAAUAUAUGCCCAUCCAUUUUUCUAAUAGUCCAAGGUAAGUUGCAUGUAAUUAUCAGAAACAAAGAUGAUACA